CCGUUAACGAACGAGACCUUAACCUGCUAAAUAGCCAGGCUAGCUUUGGCUGGUCGCAGGCUUCUUAGAGGGACUAUCGGCUCAAGCCGAUGGAAGUUUGAGGCAAUAACAGGUCUGUGAUGCCCUUAGAUGUUCUGGGCCGCACGCGCGCUACACUGACAGAGCCAACGAGUUUUUUUCCUUCGCCGAAAGGUGCUGGGCAAUCUUGUUAAACUCUGUCGUGCUGGGGAUAGAGCCUUGCAAUUAUUGCUCUUCAACGAGGAAUGCCUAGUAGGCGCAAGUCAUCAGCUUGCGCCGAUUACGUCCCUGCCCUUUGUACACACCGCCCGUCGCUAAUACCGAUUGAAUGGAUU
Molecule: ribosomal RNA, 353 nt
Filed under: Eukaryota sp.
Lineage: Eukaryota
Description: SSU rRNA
Rfam family: Eukaryotic small subunit ribosomal RNA
Source: RNAcentral